This is a long non-coding RNA of Syngnathus acus (greater pipefish), 617 nucleotides long. RefSeq lists it as uncharacterized. The transcript is spliced from 2 exons. The record is from RefSeq and is a predicted model, not a curated record. NCBI's taxonomy places the organism in Eukaryota, Metazoa, Chordata, Actinopteri, Syngnathiformes, Syngnathidae.
CAUCUCAAAAACAUGCUUGGUAGGCCGAUUGAGCACUCCAUAUUGCCGUAAGUGUGGGUGGUUGUUCGUCUUUGUGUGCCCCCGUAUUGCUGGCAACCAGUUCAGGGUGUCCCCCGCCUACUGCCUGAUGACUGCUGGGAUAGGUUCCAGUACGCCCGCGACACCCGACAAGCGGUACAGAAAAUGGAUGGAUUGAGACAUAGCAUCACAUUUUCAGCAGUAGUAAGCAGUAGUCUACUAUGUCCAGCUACUACUGCAUUAAGGAUGAUUAAAAUAACAAAUCUUAUUUGAUUGAGGGUGAUUCAUCUAACAUAUGUCACCCUGAGACAUGUAAUUUGUGGACGGUCCAUAAAACAGACGGUAAGAACAUAUAUCAAAUGUCUGGCGUACCUUUUCCUGCUAUAAGCUUUUACAUUGCAUGUCAUAUUAACCUAUUUGACUGCAUUUGAUAUCAUCUAUUGUUGAAACGGACACUACAUUUGCACCGUUACCGUCAAGCUGUUCAUUUAAUUACUAAUGACCCAAUGUAACGUUGCUCUGAGUGUCUGAGUGAGAGCGUGCGUCUUGGCUUUUUAGCCAGCUCCCAGAAUUUGACGGGGCAUGAAUGCACAAAAUGA